This 1587-nucleotide ribosomal RNA is filed under the name Triticum aestivum (bread wheat). RNAcentral describes it as "partial small subunit ribosomal RNA". The record is from RNAcentral. Lineage: Eukaryota; Viridiplantae; Streptophyta; Magnoliopsida; Poales; Poaceae.
CGAAUAGGGUACAGAUUAGAAUUGGGUUUUGAAAGUAAGGGGAAGAGUUUAUAACGGUUUGUGCGACUUUCAAAUUUUAUUUUUAUAUAUUCAGCAGAUGAACGCGGGUUUAUGGCCCUUAGUAGCAGGAAAACGGGAAGGCACGCGGCGAACGUAGAGCAACACAUCUUUUUUUUAAUCCAGAAUAUUAGUUAAGAAGGAGGUUGGGGCCGCCGCCGGUGACGCCACCGCCGUCGCGGCCCCGGGUAUCUAGGCUUCGUUGGCGGCGCCAUGCACAUCUGGUGGAGGGUUCGGUCAGUCCCCAAACGAUUCUUCGCUUGGUAGGAACUUCGAAAUCAGCGAGAUAGGUAUGAUCAACAGCCGACAGCUUGGACCGUACAAGAAAGGGGUUAAGGUGGUUUUUUUAAGACAAACCAACUAGUCGUGACCUUGCGGCGUCCAAAAUGCGCCCCAAUAGAACUUAGACCCCUUCUAAACCCUCUCCUACAGAUUAGAACGGUUGUACAAACGACAGGAACUGGACCUACCGCUCCUGCUAGCUUUCCUUCACCUUGUUGGCUGUAGGUCGUUCGGUCUUCGGCGGCGGCGGCGGCGGCGGCGGCGGCGGUCCUUUGAGCUAUCACCGUACUGCUUAUUGUUUUACUAACAUUUAAUACUACCCCUAUUUGAACCAAGUAGCAGUUCACUUAUGUUCUACGGUAACCACACCUAACUGAACCUUUACUGGCCAAACCUAUAGUCUUUUCUGGCGUAUGACCUCUAACGAACAUAAUAUUGUCUACCAUUUGAAUGGUUUGCCUAUCUCCCAGGACUAAACCAAUAUUCUGUCUCGUUCCUUACGAAUCUGUUGUACUUACUAACCACAUUUUGGGUAGUACCACGGUCACCUGACUGUCUUGUUCAUGACGUCUCACUGUAAAGACUCACACUACGACUCUUUGUCCACGAUCUGAAACAAUCCUCCAUAUAACCAAGCCGCUGAGGUAACUAACGACCCUUAAGAUAGAUAUGUCUAAAUGAUAAAAACUUCCUCAUGUACGGUGUCGAACGUCCGUAUAAGGGAGUACACUAUCAACUACACUCGUCGUAUUGCCGAGACACGUAGGCGACCAAGGGUUUCCUUUCCUUCGUUCGAGGUUCUUUCCUCUUUUUGGUGUCCCGUGACCUGCUGUAGUCUCUCUCGUAGUACCUCGACGUCAUGAUGUUCCUCUUGUAGAAGUUUAGCGCCGUUAGAUUCGUAAUCGGACAACCCUAAGUAAUCGAGAGAACUAAUAACCCUACUUUUGCAAGGGACCACAUACUAGGAAGGUAUCUAAACUACUACGAAUUUACCGGUGCACGGAAACCCCAUUGCGGUUCUAACAUCAGUGUAUCCCGUACACACCAACCACUGGUUGAAACGGUACCGAACGGUGAACAAAAACAGUGUGACCGUUUUCACGAGGGAUAGGGUGAAAAUGAUCAAAAUCCCUUUAGUGACGAAGUGUCGAUCCUCUAUGGGAUAUCAAAAUCAGGGAUUUUUUUAAUUUGUGUAAAAAUUAUGUUUAUUAAAGUUUGUGAAUAAAUUUGAUUAUUACAUGAUGAGGG